Molecule: ribosomal RNA, 253 nt
Filed under: uncultured bacterium
Lineage: Bacteria
Description: partial 16S ribosomal RNA
Rfam family: Bacterial small subunit ribosomal RNA
Source: RNAcentral
UACGUAGGGGGCAAGCGUUGUCCGGAUUUAUUGGGCGUAAAGCGCUCGUAGGCGGUUCAUUGCGUCGUGCGUGAAAGACCCCGGCUCAAUUGGGGAGGGUCGUGCGAAACGGGUGAACUAGAGGCCAGUAGGGGGAUGUGGAAUUCCGGGUGUAGUGGUGGAAUGCGUAGAGAUCCGGAGGAACACCAGCGGCGAAGGCGGCAUCCUGGACUGGUCCUGACACUCAGGAGCGAAAGCGUGGGGAGCGAUCCGG